Sinocyclocheilus grahami is the source of this 501-nucleotide long non-coding RNA. RefSeq lists it as uncharacterized. The transcript is spliced from 2 exons. The record is from RefSeq and is a predicted model, not a curated record. NCBI's taxonomy places the organism in Eukaryota, Metazoa, Chordata, Actinopteri, Cypriniformes, Cyprinidae.
CCCUUUAGCCACAGUCAAAAAGACAGGAGGAAAUGGAUGGAUAAAUGACCGGUCAGGGUCAUUUGGAGGAAACGGACGGUCAACGACCAGUCUGGAUGGAGUCAGUUUCUCAGAAGGGGAACUGUUGUUGCAGGCCCUCAAUGGCUUUGUGCUUGUGGUCACCACCGAAGGUUACGUGUUUUAUGCGUCUCCAACUAUACAGGACUACUUGGGCUUUCAUCAGGUGAGUUUGCUUUAAAACCUUUCUUUUAGGAAGUCCUGCUUUUUUAACAUUAGUUGUCUUGUCAUACGUCAAAAUUGUAUGUACUUUGUACAGUUUACGAAAAUAAACACAGUUUAAAUCGAUAUUCAUAUACCAGCCUCAAAAAAUGCUUGUCAUUUAAUUGACAAUUGAUAAAUCCAGCAUAGUUAUCAAAUCUAUUGACGAGUCAUUCACCUGGAAACAUUUGUAUCAUUCUUCAGUCAUUUGUUGGUUCGACUUUCCUCACCCUGGAGGAAGAG